This 1350-nucleotide ribosomal RNA is filed under the name metagenome. Its description in RNAcentral is "bacterial LSU rRNA". It matches the Rfam family "Bacterial large subunit ribosomal RNA", at positions 1531 to 2910 of the family's 2925-position model. The record is from RNAcentral.
UGUAGGCAAAUCCGCUUUCUGAGCUGACCCUAACAGUACCGAGCGUUCUUGAACAAUCGGAUAAUGGAUGUAAUCAUGCUCCCUAGAAAAUCCGCUAAGCGUUAAUUCGUACGGCACCCGUACCACAAACGGACACACGUGGUCAAGUAUAGAGUACUAAGGCGCUCGAGUGAUUCAUGGCUAAGGAACUAGGCAAAAUAGUCCUGUAACUUUGGGAGAAAGGACGCCACUAGCGAUAGUGGCCGCAGAGAAAUGGCCCAGGCGACUGUUUAACAAAAACAUAGGGCUUUGCAAAAUCGAAAGAUGAGGUAUAAGGCCUGACACCUGCCCGGUGCCGGAAGGUAAAGAGGAGAAGUCAGCUCACGCGAAGCUUUGAAUUGAAGCCCCGGUAAACGGCGGCCGUAACAAUAACGGUCCUAAGGUAGCGAAAUUCCUUGUCGGGUAAGUUCCGACCUGCACGAAUGUGUAACGAUCUGGGCACUGUCUCAGCCAUGAGCUCGGUGAAAUUGUAGUAUCGGUGAAGAUGCCGAUUACCCGCAACGGGACGGAAGACCCCGUGAACCUUUACUGCAACUUAACGUUGAAUCUGGGUGGUCGAUGUGUAGGAUAGGCCGGAGGCUGUGAAGGGUGGACGCCAGUCUGCUUGGAGCCGUCGUUGAAAUACGGCCCUUCGAUCAUUUGGGUUCUAACUCCCUCAUGGAGGACACCGUUUGGUGGGUAGUUUGACUGGGGUGGUCGCCUCCAAAAGUGUAACGGAGGCUUCCAAAGGUACCCUCAGGCCGAUUGGUAACCGGUCGUAGAGUGUAAUGGUAUAAGGGUGCUUGACUGAGAGACCGACAAGUCGAUCAGGUAGGAAACUAGGGCAUAGUGAUCCGGUGGUUCCGCAUGGAAGGGCCAUCGCUCAAAGGAUAAAAGGUACUCCGGGGAUAACAGGCUGAUCGCCCCCAAGAGCUCAUAUCGACGGGGCGGUUUGGCACCUCGAUGUCGGCUCGUCACAUCCUGGGGCUGGAGAAGGUCCCAAGGGUUCGGCUGUUCGCCGAUUAAAGUGGCACGCGAGCUGGGUUCAGAACGUCGUGAGACAGUUCGGUCCCUAUCUGUUGUGGGCGUUGGAGGUUUGAGAGGAUCUGACACUAGUACGAGAGGACCGUGUUGGACGGACCGCUGGUUUACCGGUUGUCCCGCCAGGGGCACAGCCGGGUAUCUACGUCCGGAUCGGAUAAGCGCUGAAAGCAUCUAAGCGCGAAGCCGGCCUCAAGAUGAGACCUCCUUAGAGGGUCGUUGUAGACGACGACGUUGAUAGGCCGCACGUGUAAAGCCGGCAACGGCAAAGCUGAGCGGUACUAAUUACCU